GGAGGAGUCGGAUAGCGGUUUAUUCCACACGCUUGGAAAGCGUGCGUCCUUAACCGGACUCGUGGGUUCGAAUCCCACCUCCUCCGCCU
RNAcentral lists this transfer RNA (89 nucleotides) under Candidatus Roizmanbacteria bacterium RIFOXYA1_FULL_41_12. Its description in RNAcentral is "tRNA-Ser". It matches the Rfam family "tRNA". From Rfam's summary of the family: Transfer RNA (tRNA) molecules are approximately 80 nucleotides in length. RNAcentral also lists the same sequence under 6 other names. The record is from RNAcentral. Lineage: Bacteria; Candidatus Roizmaniibacteriota.